GACGAACGCUGGCGGCGUGCCUAAUACAUGCAAGUCGAGCGAAGUUUUUUUGGUGCUUGCACUAGAAAAACUUAGCGGCGAACGGGUGAGUAACACGUAAAGAACCUGCCUCAUAGACUGGGACAACUAUUGGAAACGAUAGCUAAUACCGGAUAACAGCAUUAACUGCAUGGUUGAUGUUUAAAAGUUGGUUUUGCUAACACUAUGAGAUGGCUUUGCGGUGCAUUAGCUAGUUGGUGGGGUAAAGGCCUACCAAGGCGACGAUGCAUAGCCGACCUGAGAGGGUGAUCGGCCACACUGGGACUGAGACACGGCCCAGACUCCUACGGGAGGCAGCAGUAGGGAAUCUUCCGCAAUGGGCGAAAGCCUGACGGAGCAACGCCGCGUGAGUGAAGAAGGAUUUCGGUUCGUAAAGCUCUGUUGUUAGGGAAGAAUGAUUGUGUAGUAGCUAUACACAGUAGAGACG
RNAcentral lists this ribosomal RNA (466 nucleotides) under Gemella haemolysans. RNAcentral describes it as "bacterial SSU rRNA". It matches the Rfam family "Bacterial small subunit ribosomal RNA", at positions 28 to 474 of the family's 1533-position model. Lineage: Bacteria; Bacillati; Bacillota; Bacilli; Caryophanales; Gemellaceae. The record is from RNAcentral.